This 242-nucleotide ribosomal RNA is filed under the name uncultured marine eukaryote. RNAcentral describes it as "partial 18S ribosomal RNA". It matches the Rfam family "Eukaryotic small subunit ribosomal RNA", at positions 1205 to 1449 of the family's 1831-position model. The record is from RNAcentral.
GCGGGAAAACUUACCAGACCAGGACAUAGUGAGGAUUGACAGAUUAAUGUUCUUUCUUGAUUCUAUGAAUAGUAGUGCAUGGCCGUUCUUAGUUGGUGGAGUGGUCCGUCUGGUUAAUUCCGAUAACGAACGAGACCCCAGCCAUCUGACUAGCCGUCGCUACUCGUUAGCGCUUGCCUAUGUAAUUGGGCAAGUUCGGCUUCUUAGAGGGACUAACUGCGCUUAGCAGUGGGAAGCGUGGG